AUCAAUGUCCUGUCCUCUUUUCUCUGUCAAGUUGUUCCUCCUUCCCGAGCUCUAUUGUGAUUUGGGGCACCUGAGGAAUUAACUAUUUCUCUCGUGUCUUUGCCUAACCACAGGUGAAUGUCUCGACCCGCUUUUAAGCUGGCUCCGCCCUCUGGACGCGUUCUUUUAAAGGUGGGAGCUCCGACGGAGGGCCCUGAUUCCGGCCUCGCUACCAGCUGGGCUGUGUGGGGGAGCGAGGCCUAAUAACCCAGGGGGCGCUGGGCGGGAACGGCGUGGAUCCCUCGGCCUCGCACACCUGGCUCCUAGUCCUCUCGGCCGGGCCGGUGAUCCUCUGGUCGGGGGUGGGGGUGGGGGGGGCUUGCGGCAGCUCACACCUGAGGCCGUUACAAAAGGCCUGCAGCUUAACUCGCUGCAGCUCGGGGGGAUGGAUUGCCUACUAACUGCAGGCGCCGUGGUGCGCCGAGAAAACAGCGAAAACUGGGCCAGCGGAGGCGGGUGGGCCUCCUUGGAGGAGCGCACCUGGGGUGCGGGAGCGCCUCCUGGCAGCCUUGGCCUCGCCUCCCACGCGUGGACGCGCAGGGCCCAGGACACCGCAGCCGCCUACUCCUUUCUGCAGCCCCGGGGUCUGAAGAUAAGUUGUCGGGAGGAGGAGCCAAGAUGGCCGAAUAGGAACAGCUCCGGUCUACAGCUCCCAGCGUGAGCGACACAGAAGACGGGUGAUUUCUGCAUUUCCAUCUGAGGUACCGGGUGCAUCUCACUAGGGAGUGCCAGACAGUGGGCGCAGGCCAGUGGGUGUGCGCACCGUGC
This 807-nucleotide long non-coding RNA is filed under the name Homo sapiens (human). Its description in RNAcentral is "HSALNT0115571". The record is from RNAcentral. Lineage: Eukaryota; Metazoa; Chordata; Mammalia; Primates; Hominidae.